GUGGGGAAUAUUGGACAAUGGGGGAAACCCUGAUCCAGCGACGCCGCGUGAGUGAAGAAGUAUUUCGGUAUGUAAAGCUCUAUCAGCAGGGAAGAAAAUGACGGUACCUGACUAAGAAGCCCCGGCUAACUACGUGCCAGCAGCCGCGGUAAUACGUAGGGGGCAAGCGUUAUCCGGAUUUACUGGGUGUAAAGGGAGCGUAGACGGCACUGCAAGUCUGGAGUGAAAGCCCGGGGCUCAACCCCGGGACUGCUUUGGAAACUGUGGUGCUGGAGUGCAGGAGAGGUAAGUGGAAUUCCUAGUGUAGCGGUGAAAUGCGUAGAUAUUAGGAGGAACACCAGUGGCGAAGGCGGCUUACUGGACUGUAACUGACGUUGAGGCUCGAAAGCGUGGGGAGCAAACAGGAUUAGAUACCCGAGUAGUCC
RNAcentral lists this ribosomal RNA (425 nucleotides) under uncultured bacterium. RNAcentral describes it as "partial 16S ribosomal RNA". It matches the Rfam family "Bacterial small subunit ribosomal RNA", at positions 354 to 796 of the family's 1533-position model. The record is from RNAcentral.